AGCUUAACUCCGAAACUGCAUUCGAUACUGCCGUGCUUGAGGACUGGAGAGGAGACUGGAAUUUACGGUGUAGCGGUGAAAUGCGUAGAUAUCGUAAGGAAGACCAGUGGCGAAGGCGGGUCUCUGGACAGUUCCUGACGCUGAGGCACGAAGGCCAGGGGAGCAAACGGGAUUAGAUACCCCGGUAGUCCUGGCAGUAAACGGUGCACGUUUGGUGUGGGAGGAUUCGACCCCUUCUGCGCCGGAGCUAACGCGUUAAACGUGCCGCCUGGGGAGUACGGUCGCAAGAUUAAAACUCAAAGAAAUUGACGGGGGCCCGCACAAGCGGUGGAGUAUGUGGCUCAAUUCGAUGCAACGCGAAGAACCUUACC
RNAcentral lists this ribosomal RNA (371 nucleotides) under uncultured bacterium. Its description in RNAcentral is "bacterial SSU rRNA". It matches the Rfam family "Bacterial small subunit ribosomal RNA", at positions 606 to 975 of the family's 1533-position model. The record is from RNAcentral.